Molecule: ribosomal RNA, 696 nt
Filed under: Sceloporus gadsdeni (Lagoon spiny lizard)
Lineage: Eukaryota; Metazoa; Chordata; Lepidosauria; Squamata; Phrynosomatidae
Description: partial 12S ribosomal RNA
Rfam family: Bacterial small subunit ribosomal RNA
Source: RNAcentral
CAUAGUUUUGGUCCUAAACUUACUGCUACUUUUAAUCAAAUUUACACAUGCAAGCAUCCACACACCAGUGAAAUACGCCCUAACACAGUAUAAAUGGAGCAGGUAUCAGGCACAACCGCCAGCCAAAAACACCAAGCUUUGCCACACCCACACGGGCCCUCAGCAGUGAUAAACAUUAAGCAAUAAGCGAACACACCAAACUAAAGCUUGACUUAGUUAUGAUUAACAGGGCCGGUAAACCUCGUGCCAGCCACCGCGGUUACACGGCGGGCCCAAAGCAGCAGACUCUCGGCGUAAAUAGUGGCCAGAAUAAUUACCCCCACAUUAAAAACUAAACCAUACCCUAACCGUAAAACACAGGCUAAAUGAAAUCAAGCACUUUUAAUAACAGGUAAUUUGACCCACGAAAACUAAGAAACAAACUAGGAUUAGAUACCCUACUAUGCUUAGUCGUUAAUAUGAUAUUAUAGUACUAAAAUAUCCGCCAGAAAACUACGAGCGAAAAGCUUAAAACUCAAAGGACUUGGCGGUGCUCCAUACCGACUUAGAGGAGCCUGUCCUAUAAUCGAUACCCCACGCUAAACCCCACCAAUCUUUGCCAUACCAGCCUAUAUACCGCCGUCGUCAACCCACCUCAUGAGAGAAAAACAGUGAGUACAAAAGUUCAAUAACUAAAACGUCAGGUCAAGGUGUAGC